ACAGUGGACGCGAGCAUCUUUGUUGUAAGUGUUUAAGAGCGUACGGUGGAUGCCUUGGCACCAGGAGCCGAUGAAGGACGUAGGAGGCUGCGAUAAGCCUCGGGGAGCUGUCAACCGAGCUGAGAUCCGAGGAUGUCCGAAUGGGGAAACCCAGCCACAGUGAUGUGUGGUUACCCGCGCCUGAAUAUAUAGGGCGUGUGGAGGGAACGUGGGGAAGUGAAACAUCUCAGUACCCACAGGAAGAGAAAACAACAUGUGAUUCCGAGUAGUGGCGAGCGAAAGCGGAAGAGGCUAAACCAUGGGUGUGUGAUAGCCGGCGGGCGUUGCAUUCGUGGGGUGUGGGAUCCGUCUUGUCAAUUCUGCCGGAUUGGCCGACAGUGAGAAAUCAUCGUGUUAGUCGAAGUGGUCUGGAACGGCCUGUCGUAGAGGGUGAGAGUCCCGUAGACGAAAACAUGGUGACUGUCGUGACGGACACCCGAGUAGCAGCGGGCCCGUGAAAUCUGCUGUGAAUCUGUCGGGACCACCCGAUAAGCCUGAAUACUCCCUGGUGACCGAUAGCGGACUAGUACCGUGAGGGAAAGGUGAAAAGUACCCCGGGAGGGGAGUGAAAUAGUACCUGAAACCGUGCGCUUACAAUCCGUCAGAGCCUGCGCACUUCGGUGGGUGGGUGAUGGCGUGCCUUUUGAAGAAUGAGCCUGCGAGUUAGCGGCAUGUCGCGAGGUUAACCGUGUGGGGUAGCCGUAGCGAAAGCGAGUCCGAAUAGGGCGUUUGUAGUGGCAUGUUCUAGACCCGAAGCGGAGUGAUCUACCCAUGGCCAGGGUGAAGCGACGGUAAGACGUCGUGGAGGCCCGAACCCACUUAGGUUGAAAAAUGAGGGAUGAGCUGUGGGUAGGGGUGAAAGGCCAAUCAAACUCCGUGAUAGCUGUUCUCCCCGAAAUGCAUUUAGGUGCAGCGUCGCGUGUUUCCACUCGGAGGUAGAGCUACUGGAUGGCCGAUGGGCCCCACAAGGUUACUGACGUCAGCCAAACUCCGAAUGCCAGAGUGUGAGAGCGCGGCAGUGAGACUGCGGGGGAUAAGCUUCGUAGUCGAGAGGGAAACAGCCAGAUCGCCGGCUAAGGCCCCUAAGCGUGUACUAAGUGGAAAAGGAUGUGGGGC
Molecule: ribosomal RNA, 1155 nt
Filed under: Rhodococcus (subgen. Prescottella) equi
Lineage: Bacteria; Bacillati; Actinomycetota; Actinomycetes; Mycobacteriales; Nocardiaceae
Description: Rhodococcus hoagii partial 23S ribosomal RNA
Rfam family: Bacterial large subunit ribosomal RNA
Source: RNAcentral